Molecule: transfer RNA, 75 nt
Filed under: Caudoviricetes sp.
Lineage: Duplodnaviria; Heunggongvirae; Uroviricota; Caudoviricetes
Description: tRNA-Asp
Rfam family: tRNA
About the family: Transfer RNA (tRNA) molecules are approximately 80 nucleotides in length. Their secondary structure includes four short double-helical elements and three loops (D, anti-codon, and T loops).
Source: RNAcentral
GGACGUAUGGUAUAAUGGUUAUUACAACCGACUGUCUAUCGGUUAAUCGGGAUUCGAUUUCCCGUACGUCCGCCA